RNAcentral lists this non-coding RNA (266 nucleotides) under Priestia koreensis. Its description in RNAcentral is "Bacillus koreensis T-box sequence". It matches the Rfam family "T-box leader". Rfam says of the family: Uncharged tRNA acts as the effector for transcription antitermination of genes in the T-box leader family. T-boxes are found upstream of many aminoacyl-tRNA synthetase genes and some amino acid biosynthetic genes usually in Gram-positive bacteria. The record is from RNAcentral. Lineage: Bacteria; Bacillati; Bacillota; Bacilli; Caryophanales; Bacillaceae.
UAAAAGGCGAAGACGGGAAAAGUAGGAUGAAAAGAUUUUUCACAGAGAGCUUCGGAUGCUGAAAAGAAGCAAAAAUUAUCAUUUGAACAAUGGUCCCUGAGCCUGUGUAGCUGAACGUGUUUGUACAUGAGUAGGCUACCACGAGAGUUGGCGCUCGUUACCAUAGUCACAGUAUAAGAGCUGAAUGCUCCGUACUUGUUGAGAUGAAAGGUGUGAGCCUUUUAUAAAUUAAGGUGGUACCACGAGACUAUAGCCUCGUCCUUAUC